AUGGGAGAGCCAGGGACCCCCGACGUGGAGCAGAGCAGACCGGCUCCAUCUGUGACAGACUGCUUGCCGGAGGAGACAGAAGCAGGGAAAAGCAAUGGUAAAUGGCAUGCCGAUUCAACUCUCACUUGGCAUCUUUUAAGGCCCGCAGAUGCUAGACUGAGAGCCACUGGUAUUAGGAGCAUGUUGAUGAUGGUGCUGUGCUCAGACUUCACCCAGCGUCUCUCUGGGUGCCCCCAAUUAACGGCUUCUGAUUGCCUUUCGAAAUGUGUGAGAUGCCGGAGGCCACAGAGGCCAGCUCCCUUCUGGAUGAAGAGAUCUCAGCGUUACUGAACAGGGUCCGAUUUCUUGACCUGACCUUCAUGCCCAGAUUCUUGGGCUGGUUAAGUUGGAGUCGCUACGGUCAGAGUCGCCCAUUCGCUGCAAUCAAGUCUGCCACGGGGGUGGACCGAUGGGGAUGUCGUCCUUGGAUCCAGCACUGGUGGGUUGUGGAACCGGUCAGGUCUGUAACCCAGAGAUCCCCUUGCAACUCAAGACAUUUCUCAAGACUGGGGCUGAGUCUGCCUCCUUGGGUGUAACAAUAAGAAGCCAAUUGUAAAUAGCAUGUGGUCUGCUCCAUGUACCUUGUAGAGAACUUCAGUCACAUCAUUAAAAACCAGAACAUCCCAAUGAUUAGAGUUGUGUUUUUUGGGGGGAGGUAAAAUUAAUGAGUAAAGAAAUAUGGGAAGGUAAAGAAUUUAGCCUGGGUUGUGACAGAGCGUCCUUGUUUAGUGCAGCUGCAUCCAAAGUCAAAACAGCCUGGAUGAUAUCCAGUCUCAAGCAGGAGAGGGAAAAGAUUUAUUCCCCCCCCCCCCCCGUGGGGUGGUUGGGUUUUGGACUAAUCAGCCCUUUGGCUCCUGCAAGCAAAGCGUAAUCUGUUAUGGUCAACCUAUGAAAGUAGAUUCCAGCCGUCGUGCCUAACUGUAGUACAUGCAGAUCGGAAUCGACCUCCUUACAGCCGAACGAGUCGUUUUCUAACCUUCAUGGCUAUCAUUAGAAAUGUACAGCUUGGGUUUUAUCCAAAUGGAGAGUUAGAACAGGACGGAGCCAAAGAGGCCGGCCGAGCAGCCAUGAGAGCGAGAGGCGUUGAUGGAUGACCUCCAGCAUAUAGAUCGCUGAGCAAGCCGUUCCCCCUCUCGGUGGUCAAUGAUGCCAGCCUGUGCCGGAGGGCAAAACAUGGGGACAGGCUAAAUUAAAAGCCGUAUUUAGCUGUAUGGAGAGGUCACUCGCACAGGAUUCCUGCCGAAAAGUUUGGGCUGCCAUAAGAGAUUCCCAGAGAAAGGUGUGAUGUCAU
Molecule: long non-coding RNA, 1330 nt
Filed under: Pogona vitticeps (central bearded dragon)
Lineage: Eukaryota; Metazoa; Chordata; Lepidosauria; Squamata; Agamidae
Description: lncRNA (ENSPVIG00000018053.1)
Source: RNAcentral